GCAGUCUGCAACUCGACUGCAUGAAGCUGGAAUCGCUAGUAAUCGCGAAUCAGAAUGUCGCGGUGAAUACGUUCCCGGGCCUUGUACACACCGCCCGUCACACCAUGGGAGUUGGAAGCACCCGAAGUCGGUGACCUGACCGAAAGGGAGGAGCCGCCGAAGGUGAAGCCAGCGACUGGGGUGAAGUCGUAACAAGGUAUC
This 201-nucleotide ribosomal RNA is filed under the name uncultured bacterium. RNAcentral describes it as "partial 16S ribosomal RNA". It matches the Rfam family "Bacterial small subunit ribosomal RNA", at positions 1300 to 1500 of the family's 1533-position model. The record is from RNAcentral.